RNAcentral lists this ribosomal RNA (674 nucleotides) under Botryobasidium sp. 1 LR-2015. Its description in RNAcentral is "eukaryotic LSU rRNA". The stretch from base 251 to 404 matches the Rfam family "5.8S ribosomal RNA". Lineage: Eukaryota; Fungi; Basidiomycota; Agaricomycetes; Cantharellales; Botryobasidiaceae. The record is from RNAcentral.
UAGAGGAAGUAAAAGUCGUAACAAGGUUUCCGUAGGUGAACCUGCGGAAGGAUCAUUAAUGAACAAGUACGUGCGGGGGGAGGGUUGUGCUGGCGCGUCCGCGCGCAUGUGCACGCCCGCCCCUCGUCGUCCGUCCACUCACACCUGUGCACCUUGCUCGUCAGGUCGAGGGGCCCUCCCUCGGCCGGCGCACUUUUCACACAACCUGUCUUAACCGGAUGUCAACUUUGCGUAAACGCAACCGAAAAACAACUUUUAACAACGGAUCUCUUGGUUCUCGCAUCGAUGAAGAACGCAGCGAAAUGCGAUAAGUAAUGUGAAUUGCAGAAUUCAGUGAAUCAUCGAAUCUUUGAACGCACCUUGCGCUCCUUGGUAUUCCGAGGAGCAUGCCCGUUUGAGUGUCGUGAUAUCAUCAGGCCGACCCCUCCUUUGCUGGCGGGGGUUACGCUUGGACUUGGAUGUGCUGCCGGACGGCGACGCCCGGCUCAUCCCAAAUGCAUUAGCUGGAUUUAAUCCUGGCUUGGACUUUUGUUCUCACUCGGCGUGAUAAGAUCACCCGUCGAGGACGUCCCUCGCCCCAUGGACCGGCUUCCAACCGUCCCCUCGCGGACAGAUCACUUUGACAAUCUGACCUCAAAUCGGGUAGGACUACCCGCUGAACUUAAGCAUAUCAU